UUAAUGAUUAGUCACCCUUUCCUUCGACUUUUUUCUCCUCUUGCUCUUAAAUCUAGUUUGUGAUACUUUCACCAAUUUUCAUUUCGAUAUAACUCGGUGUUUCGUGAUUCUCGUGCUGUUUUUCUUUUUUUUUUAAAGAAAUCAUCCUUUUUUUGACAAAAUUAUUACAAAGUAUAUAACUCCUCAAUCGAGCAAAUCCUAGCUGAUAACAAGUUUAACACUAUUUUGGCGAUUAUUUCGUCGCCAUACUUUGUCCACAGUAUUUUCUUUGACAAAGUUGAUGUCAAAAAUCGCGAGACCUUUAGAAAAUUAGUUAUUGAUUUGAGCUGUUUGAAAGUUCCCAGGUAGCAGAUCUGCAUAAAAUGUGCAUUUCGUGUCCAAUCUAAACUGCGCCUAAAACGUGAGAAGGCGCCUAAUAUGCACUUAAAUGCGCGUUUCAGAUGGGGCAUAUAAUGCGGUUCGAAUGCAGUUUGCUAUAUUUUGCUACCUGGGUUAUAGCAAAACAAUCCUUUGUAUGAUAGUUAUCACGUAAUUCUGUGUAUGCCUAGAAAUGUAGUGGCUGCUCCCUCGACUUCCGCAAGUUAAAAAAACCGCCCUGGUCAUUUUAGUAAAGAGAAACUCCUCCUAGCACAUAAAUGAUGAAAGAUAAAAGCCAAAUGGAAAAAAUGAUAGGCCAGGGGUUCUAGCGAGUUACCCCCGGGAGACAUAAAGAAUAUUUGUUUGUUACCUUUCUCUCCCCGCCCUUUUUCUUUUCCAUAGUUGGCUUAGAGUAUAGAGUAAGGGUCGAGCAAAAUGUAACAAACUACAGAUAAAAGGACAAACCAAGCUGUCGAAGUUUUGUGUGAAGUUAUCCGGAGGUUGAGCGGAACUUGCCCGGUUUUUCAUUUGAGUGAGACCGGACAAGCGCCGCUCAGCCUGGGGCAAGGUCCUCCCUCGAACACCUUCACGCAUGGAAGUUUUUAAGGAUUUUGAUUUGUGGACUGAAAACACCGCAUUAUCUGCACCAUAGUGUCCUUUAUAAGUCACCUUUCUAUGUACAUACGACCGACUUGCCAGGGGCUUAACACUUAACACUUAGGUAGCCUUUUCCGUCAUGGUAACUACUAAUGUUAUAACUUUAAACUCAUGUGAGACUACUUAAACGUUAAGUCAUAGACGUUUUGCGCCAGAUCAAAACUGAACAUUUACUUGAUUUUUUACAACCCUAUAUAAAAUAAAAAUUAUUAAUUAGUAACGUUGAACUAACGAAAAACUAACAAAGGAGGGUGCUCUGAAAACUCAACGGUGUACAUUGUAUGCUGAAAAAUCAGCGAUCAUUAAUGAUUGCUGAUAUAUCAGUGUACAUGGCAUGAUUGCUGAUAUAUCAGCAAUCAUAAAUGAUCACGUUUAGGUUUUUUGCUGAUAUUUCCUUUCAGACGGAUGUCAUCGGAAAGUGGAUAACAUUUCUAGAUUCCUCGUGAAAAAAGCUUCCAAACGAGCUACUAUGAGAUAGGGUUCAAAUUCACCGCUACCAUAUCUUGGUUUACAUUAUACCGGCAUUUUCGAGAAGCAGACCAUUUCGGUAGUGAACCCUAUUACAUAGUAGCCCGUUUGAAAGCUUUUUUCACGAGGAAUCUGGAAAUGUUAUCCACUUUCCGAUGACAUCCGUCUGGAAGGAAAUAUCAGCAAAAAAACCGAAACGUGAUCAUUUAUGAUUGCUGAUAGAUCAGCAAUCAUGCCAUGUACACUGAUAUAUCAGCAAUCAUUAAUGAUCGCUGAUUUUUCAGUAUACAAUGUACACUGUUGAGUUUUCAAGGUGUUCUGUUGUUACAGAUUUCAAUAGUGCUCUAAAGUGCUGUUUCCACAGCUGGUUCCACACUAAGAUUUUGCAUUGGUUUUAGCUGUUCAAGGGGGUUUUGAUGGUCGUUGAACGCGAAUUUCAUUUUAAAAAAUCACAAAAUUUAAAGUCUGAAUAUCACCUUUGCAUGCCCAUCUGUCAACACUGUGAAAAAUAUAUUUGUACAUGUACGAUAUAUUUUGUAAUUUUCCAUUUACAAUACGAGUCGUACAUUUACAACCUCCCAGUGUCACUCGAUAUUCGAUUCUAAGUCGAUACAUAGGGCUAGUAAAUUGUACAAUUUUAGAUUGACUUCUUCCAUGGAAAAUUUUCCUGUACCCGGUACGACAAGUCAUCACAGUGAAGAACAGUUUGAGCUACGGCACCCAGAUUUUGAGGAAAGCCAUAACUUAGCACUUUCUUUACUUGUAGAAAAUUUGAACAAAAUCGCAUGGGGUUGCAAAAACUGGUCUCGAGAGGAUAAUACGAUCCUGGACCCGUAUGGUGACCCCCUAAUAUUUUUUUUAUACAUUUUUUUAAGGAAAGUGCUCACUGGAAGGUAAGUUCCUGCAAAAUCUGGGCGCUGUAGCCCAGACGGUUCUAGAGAUGUGUGCAUGCAAAGUUGGCGAUGAAGCGCAAUACAUUUAGGGAAUGUUUGAUUAAAUUUGCGUGAAAUGACCUUCAAACCCCCUGCGGGCAACUGAAAGCAGCGCCAAAACAUUACGUUGGGGUGCAACCAACUAUACUUUAAAGUGAGAUUGAAAUCUAACUGUGCCACUGGAAAUACUUCCCUUAAGAUGUGUUAAGUUACGGACCCCUGCUAUUUGCACGACUACCGCAGUGCCCGUUCCCUGCAUGUAUGUUAUUGGUUAUCUCCAACCGCCUUGUACCUGAACAUUUGUCAUUCCUUUAGAUGUGCAUGAUGUGUGUCGUGUUGUCCUUACCUUACUCAUUCCAGAAUGACCACAACCAUGCACGUGAAUCAUUAAGGGUACGUAAAGUCUAUGUAGACAUUCUGAAAGAAACAUCAACAUGCGAAAAAUGUGCUUCGUAAAAUAUUCUGUCUGCCUUAUUCCGACGCUUUUGUGAAACGUUGCUGUACCUAAACGCUGUCGAAUGCUUGAGCAAAACUUUGCCAUGACUCAAAUUUGAUCUGAGCUUUUGCGCCGAUACCUGUAUGUUUCGAAGACCCACUCAAGUGGAGCGAGAACUAUGCUUGGCUUAUUCGUCAGAGCUGGACCUCUAUGCCUUAGUGGCUUGGCAACUUCCUUUUACGGAGAUAAGUACCUUCAGUGGCGUUGAAUGUCCCGCGGUUUUGGUCUAUGAAAAAACAUGUGGGACAGGGCAGAUUUGCAGAAAUUGGCUAUAGCUCCCUCCUGCGUAAACUGGUUUUAUCUUAAGUUCACCGAUAAGUGUGCUACUUUCAGAGCUUCAUCUACUUGUUUAUCCUUGAGACCUUGAUCCCGACCUUAAGGGCACGCUUAACCCAAACUAGCGGAUUUGUUUAUUAAAAUACACAUAAAUACGGAAAAACGCGAUCUUUCAGAUCCACAAUUUAAGGCCGAUCGCGUCCAUAAGGACGGUUUUAGGGUUUCUCGCAGUAUUAAUAGAUAAUGUUCUAAAAGUGGCUCGGAUAUUCGUGGCCCUCACCUAAAUCGUCGGUUUUCGCAGGAGUUACCCAUAGCCAAUUUUGCCCAGGUCUACGGAAGACCACUGUUUCUGAAUUUGACAUCAUAGAUAGACCAAAACCGUGGGACGAUAACAGCGAAUUUUUACCCGUAAAGGGGGGCGCAAAACCACAAUGCAUGCUAAAACCAGCCAGCAGCCUCGGAUUUCGGUCUGAUCCACCCUCGGUCACGCUCUCUGGCUUUGCUGCUGCCUCGCAGGGUCCGUGGCGCGCUCGUGGGGCACCAGUUCGUGGCGGCCCGCGAGCCCUGCCGCCAGCACCGCCCUGGCUGCCGCCGACCCCGAGGAGGACAGCGCGGGCGCCGUGUCCAAGCGCCACAUCGGUGCCCUCGCUCGGAGUGGCAUGCUCCCUGCUUUCCGCAGUCUGCGUUACGCUCGCUCCGGGAGAGCCGUGGCCUCGUCCCCCGACGAGGCCGCCGAGCAGGCGGAGCGUGGCGCCAAGUUGCCCAUGCUCUUCGGGAGGUUUGGCCCCGUCCGUUAUCGGCGGGUCUGCUACUACCGGGAGGAUCCCGAACAUGGGCCGCCAUCGGCAGACUAACGAGGACAGCAGCCCCCGGCGGCGGCGUCCCCACUAGGCUGGCCGCUCUGCGCGCCACGCAGGGGGAUGCGAGGGACGCGAGCCAGCGUCGCGGCCGACACACCUCCAGCCUGAGCAGCGCCACCAUCACCACCAGCAUCACCACCAUCGUGCUGCUGCUCACCUUGCCGCCGCUGCUUCUCGAAGGCGUCUUUAUCUCUUGCUGAUUAAUCGCGUCUGCGGCGGCAGCGACGGUGGCAAUCGCCGCAAAAGAUGCAUAACAGAAGCAGUUCCAUGUUUGUUUUUUUUCAGUUUUCACCAUUAACAUUUUGAAUUUUCAACGGUGUAAAGUAUGUUUGAGUGUGUCGCAACUUAACUAUAAGGUAUAUAAAUUUUCAUUAUACAGUAUUAGUUCACCCGCAUUGUUUCAAGUGGAUGUUAUAAGGUGGUUAAAAAGAAUAUUCUCGCGCUCUCACUUUUUGCUAACUUUAAAUUUAAGACGUUUCUUUAGUAUCGUGUUUGAGAAUUGGUAUAAAAUUUCGAAUAAUUUCAACACUGAGCUGUAGAUAGUGCAACUUUCACUUUCCAGAAGGUGCUUUCAUUUAUUAAAAUACGGAUUGAGCAGGUUUUGCAGUUACAAUGUAUUAUGUGUUUUUCAAGUUAAUCGUAUGACAAUGUUCAUAAACUGCGAAUUGUACCUAAAUUGGGUCAUGGUUCCUGUUUUCAGAGUGUCUACAGAUUCGGUACACUGAAAAAACAAUCCUGAGACUUAUUGGCUUUUAAAGGUGCUAAAUUUUAAUGCCUUUAGAAAGGCACAAAAGUGUCCAAAGGCACCAAAGUAUAGCACCUUUAGUUAAUUCUACUGCCUUCGCAGGGGUGCGAAUCUUGAAAAGCCUAUGUAAAGGAAAGGCAUAAAAGUCAUUAACACGCCCAGAAGGUUGUUGAUUCCUACCUUCGUUUUUCCAGUGUACAUUCAUUUAUCUGGGGCUGGGGGGGAGGACGGAUACAUUCGGAUGUUUGUGGCUGGGGCACGAAUUUUGUAACUUAAACUGACUAUGAACCUUGAGGCAAAUGGACAAAAAAGGUACUUUUAAAAAUGUCACCCAAAAAUACAUGGUGGUCCUGAAUCGUAAGAAAAUUCUGUUUCAUAUCAAUUUACAGCAUGACAUGUUAGUUAAGUGGAGGAAACUCGGGUGUUUCCAAAUGCUGCUCCAAGACAAUAAUAUGUUCUUUCUUUAAAAGACACAGAAAAUAUACUCUUCUAGCUAUUACUACUUUAAUUAGCACUGAAAAUAUACUCUUCUAGGUACAUAUUAUACUGAUGCGACAAUAAAUAUAUGUCUAUAGUUAUAAAUAUGGUAGUAUGAAGUUUAGUAAGGGUUUGUCGAGUCACUUCAGGCGUUGAUAGGGUAUAAAAUAUACCUCAUCAAUUGUAUCCUAAAUUCAAGACAAUAAAAGUUAAUAAACAGUGA
Long non-coding RNA from Frankliniella occidentalis (western flower thrips), 5491 nucleotides. RefSeq lists it as uncharacterized. The transcript is spliced from 2 exons. Lineage: Eukaryota; Metazoa; Arthropoda; Insecta; Thysanoptera; Thripidae. The record is from RefSeq and is a predicted model, not a curated record.